GACCUCCCCGGGCCCCUCCCCCGGGCCCGCCCCUUCCCGGUUUGGGACCCCUUAGCGCCGAGGGUGCCCCCUGCACCCCAGGAGUUCACUCCUGCCUCCCAAGGGUAAGUUCUCCCGAGCGUUGACUUUUCAAGGACUCUUUCACCGGCCUCGCGGAGACCUUCCGUGGCUCCCCGCCCCCGGUCCCGUCCCUCCGACGUGGCUACUUUUCGGGGUGGGCAGUAUAAAGGGCCGGAGGCAGCGCGGGCCGAGACCCGAGACGUGGCGCGUCCGCCCUACCCGUCUAUGCUACAGUGCUUGAAUUUGGGCCAUAAGGCUCAACUGCCAGCCCAGAGCCAAGGAACAGGGUGGGGGCUGAAGGAGCAUCACCUGGAGGAGAGGCAAAGAUGCUGCUGGGGACCACAAGUGCCCUUUAAAGGAAACCAUGGGAGUGGUGGUGUUUAAGAUGUGAUCCAUGGCAUUUAAGAACUGAGAAGAAAAAGAAAAAAAAAAGAAACUUAAAAGGAAAAAAGAAAGCUUGAUCAUCUGAAUUAUCCCAUCAUUUUUUUUUCUUAGCACAGCUAGACAUUGCUUAAAAAAAAAAAAAAAAAAAAAAAAAAGUGAAGUUUGAUGACUCAGUGUGGUUGCCUAGAGUUAGAGCUCUUUUUUUUUUUUCCAUAUACUAUAAAUGACUUGGAAGACUCAUGAUUGUGGCUAUGGGUGACACCGUGAUGUCCCCAAAGUUUUGACAGAUGAAGAAUCUCAAGAUGGGGAGAUUUCAGGGAACUCACAGCCCCUACUACAUUCUCUUGAGCUUCACCAAGUUCGGUUUACGGUUCUUUUGCCCCAGGAAGCAUCCUGGUCCUCCCACGCAGAGCUCACUCUCUCAGUGCUUACCUGUAAGCAGACCAGUUCUGUUCCUAAAGCAACAGCCCAGACUCUUUGAAAGAAAGUGGCCUUGGCACAUUUGAGAAUGACCACAAGUGGGCGUGUUGCAAAGCAGGAGUUCCUGGUCCCUAUGCUGUGCUAGUCUGCACUGAAGACUCCAUCAAGGUCCCUUCUCUGACAUCUGAUUUCCACCUGGUUCUACCCACGGCUGCCUCACCUUUGCCAGGUAGAGGGAUGUGCUUUGUUGUUGCUGGUUGUUAAAUGGAAGCUGAUACAGAAUGACCUGCCCUCAGCAUUCCAGGUGAGUUCUUCUCACCUAUGGGUUCUCUUGAAUUCAUUUCCCAAAUGAGAACCAUAUCCCUCGACCUCAUGCCACAUUCAAGAAAGCAACCCAGUUAAGUCCAGUGGCCAAAGCAAUGAACGGCUCAAAAUGCAACCACCCAAGCCUACAUUCAACAAGACGUACUCACUAUCAGUUACAGGGGAUGUUUCAUAGCAGUUUUUUUUUUUUUUUCCUUUUCUUUUUUUUUUGGGGGGGGGGGCGGGGGAGUAUAUAGCCAUCCUUAAAAUUUCAGUAAGACAUUGUAUUUUACUUCAGCUAUAUAUACAGAAAACCAAAGUAUUCUAGAAAUCUAGAAAUAGUUUGCCUUAUCUUUUGGGUUAUAUUUCUAGAUAUAUUUUUCUAGCCACCCAGUUUCCUUAAGAUAAAACUGGUGUCCUCAAAACAGCCCAAGUUGUCUUUUAUAAGUUUGGUGCAGGGAAAGGGGAAAAUGCUAAGUUUAAAAGAUUUUUGGAAUAUCUACAGGAAAUGCAGAUGGUUUGUGGCAUGAAGAUAAAGCAUCCGUAUGGUUAGCUGAGUGUUAUUUUCUGACAUUGAGACUGGGAUAUAUCUUAAGUGCCUAUGAGUAAAGAAUGGGUAUUAAAAAAAAAGAUAUUUGACACUUA
Long non-coding RNA from Marmota monax (woodchuck), 1812 nucleotides. RefSeq lists it as uncharacterized. Lineage: Eukaryota; Metazoa; Chordata; Mammalia; Rodentia; Sciuridae. The record is from RefSeq and is a predicted model, not a curated record. The transcript is spliced from 3 exons.